GAUGAACGCUGGCGGCGUGCCUAAUACAUGCAAGUCUAGCGAACGUACUAGACGCUUGCUUCUCUGAUGUUAGCGGCGGACGGGUGAGUAACACGUGGAUAACCUACCUAUAAGACUGGGAUCACUUCGGGAAACCGUCGCUAAUACCGGAUAAUAUUUUGAACCGCAUGGUUCAAAAGUGAAAGACGGUCUUGCUGUCACUUAUCGAUGGAUCCGCGCUGCAUUAGCUAGUUGUUAAGGUAACGGCUUACCAAGGCAACGAUGCAUAGCCGACCUGAGAGGGUGAUCGGCCACACUAGAAAUGAGACACGGUCCAGACGCCUACGGGAGGCAGCAGUAGGGAAUCUUCCGCAAUGGGCGAAAGCCUGACGGAGCAACGCCGCGUGAGUGAUGAAAGUGUUCGGAUCGUAAAACUCUGUUAUUAGGGAAGAACAGAUGUGGAAGUAACUGUGCAAAUAUUGACGGUACCUAAUCAGAAAGCAACGGCUAACUACGUG
Molecule: ribosomal RNA, 497 nt
Filed under: uncultured bacterium
Lineage: Bacteria
Description: partial 16S ribosomal RNA
Rfam family: Bacterial small subunit ribosomal RNA
Source: RNAcentral